RNAcentral lists this transfer RNA (73 nucleotides) under Paraliparis sp. NSMT P92399. Its description in RNAcentral is "tRNA-Asn". Lineage: Eukaryota; Metazoa; Chordata; Actinopteri; Perciformes; Liparidae. The record is from RNAcentral.
UAGAUGGAGGCUUAUUGGUUUGAGUGCUUAGCUGUUAACUAAGAGUUUGUAGGAUCAAAGCCUUCUCAUCUAG